This 30-nucleotide non-coding RNA is filed under the name Homo sapiens (human). The record is from RNAcentral. Lineage: Eukaryota; Metazoa; Chordata; Mammalia; Primates; Hominidae.
UGCAAGGUAUAGAAACCUGUACAUAUCGGC